GAUGAACGCUGACAGAAUGCUUAACACAUGCAAGUCAACUUGAACUUCGGUUUGUGUGGCGGACGGGUGAGUAACGCGUAAAGAACUUGCCUCACAGUUAGGGACAACAUUUGGAAACGAAUGCUAAUACCUGAUAUUAUGAUUUUAGGGCAUCCUAGAAUUAUGAAAGCUAUAUGCGCUGUGAGAGAGCUUUGCGUCCCAUUAGCUAGUUGGAGAGGUAACGGCUCACCAAGGCGAUGAUGGGUAGCCGGCCUGAGAGGGUGAACGGCCACAAGGGGACUGAGGCACGGCCCUUACUCCUACGGGGGGCAGCAGUGGGAAAUAUUGGACGAUGGACCAAGAGUCUGAUCCAGCAAUUCUGUGUGCACGAUGAAGUUUUUCGGAAUGUAAAGUGCUUUCAGUUGGGAAGAAAAAAAUGACGAUACCAACAGAAGAAGUGACGGCUAAAUACGUG
Molecule: ribosomal RNA, 454 nt
Filed under: uncultured bacterium
Lineage: Bacteria
Description: partial 16S ribosomal RNA
Rfam family: Bacterial small subunit ribosomal RNA
Source: RNAcentral